Molecule: long non-coding RNA, 743 nt
Filed under: Mustela putorius furo (domestic ferret)
Lineage: Eukaryota; Metazoa; Chordata; Mammalia; Carnivora; Mustelidae
Description: lncRNA (ENSMPUG00000029220.1)
Source: RNAcentral
UUCAAAACAGAUAUAAUCUGCAAAUAUUAUGCUAAGUGAAAGUGUUACGGAAGUGUUACAGAACCAGAAGAACCACGUGAUCCUGGGAGGCUUCAGAGGUUUGGAGGUUUCUUUAACACCAGCAGGCUCUGAAAAAAGUGAUCUCCAAAAGUCUGAGUGGUGAAUGACACAGAUGUUGUCAACGUAGUGAGGCUGCUAUUGACCUCCUGACCGUAUGUCAGAAGAAGGAUCACCAGCUUCUAGACGCAACUGAGAAUGACCUGGGGUACUAAAAACCACAGGGAGCAAAACUAGAGAAUAUCUUUCAGCCUUGCUUGGGAGAUACAUCAAGAACAGUACACAUACAGACAAGAAGAAAGUGAAGAGAGCAAACAGAAGAAUGUAUUUGCUUCCCACUUUCUGAUUCUAAGAAGGUAAACCUUGGGACCAAAGUGCCCCUCUUGGCUGAGAUCCAGUUGCAGGUCCUUGGAGCAACUUUUAAAGCUGCUGCUGAGCACUUGGCUGUCUACAGAAGAGCAAACCAACCCAUCUGCUAAGAAAGAUCCCCUCAUACAGGAGUCCACACUUGACUGAAAUGCAUGAAGACCACAGUACCCAUCCUUCGGGUCCACAGAGGUGGGCAUCUUUCUUCAGCCCAGGGAGCAGGAGAUGGCUGGGGACGUUAUGAGGAAGUGUGCAGCGGCUCCCAGGACAGCCUGUGGAAAGGAGCAGAGGUUCCUUUUGAUGCUGCUUUCUCAUUUUAA